CGCGCUCGGCUGUCAGCUUCGUUGCGCUGGUUCCGCUCCCUUGCGGCGACCCGCCCCGUGUCUGGACCGGGGAGGAGCAGACGCUGGACGGGGGGCUUCCUGAAGACUGUGUGACUAUCGAAGUUCUCAACUCAAAAGAUACUACUUCAGACUCUCUGAUGACUGUUAUGAGUGGGGUGGCAGAAUGAAAAAGAUAUACAAUGAAAAAGGAGAAAAAUUCAACCCAGAAUCUCUUGCUAGAGUUUCGGAGAGAGGGCUGGUAAUUCCCAGGAAGAGGCAUGGAGGACUUGGGUGAGGCUGCUACACCCAAACGGUGGUGUAUGUGGCGAUGGAGGAUCGGACCCACAAACUCCAGAACAGAGCUUUGUAAAAUGUGUGUGGGCAGCUCUGAGGCCUUGGACAAGGCAUCAGUUUCCUCAUUUGUAAAAGGUGAUUUAUGGAAAGCAUCUGGUACAUGGUGAGUGCUUUAUAAGUAGGAGUUAUUUUCCUAACAUCCCCUUUUUAUUUGAAGCUCCAAAAAAAGUUAAAACAUCUUACCUGCCACACUCUUUCUAUUAAUACCAGAUGCCUUUCCCAAGGGAGAGAGAGGGGGCAAGUCAGACUUCCUGGGAGGAGAGAAGGAAAUGGGCUGAUGAUUGGACUGCACAGUACAGCCCAUGGGAUCGCUCAGCUGCAGAGCUGGGGCCUGCAUCUGCAGGGUCCAUGGCCUUGCCACCCAUUCUGACAGGAUUGGGAGCUGCUCUGGACUUCCUUUCAAUUUCCCCUUAAGAAGUGUUGUGUCUUAAGGAGCUACAAAGGGAUGAUCCAUAUUGGAGGGGCUCCCAUAGUCUGUCUCCAGUCUGUGUGGCUUUCUGCCCUCAGCCGCUGUGAUUUCCCAAGGCCCUGGAACCUAGGGUUUCCUCUCUCUACCCCUGUCCUCCACUGAUUGUCAGAGUUCAGUUCCAGCAGGGGGCAGGCAUCUUGUGUCUUGUGAGCAAGUGGAGGCUUGGAGUAUGACUAAACAUAUUGGUUAUACUUUUUGUUUUCAUAAAACAAAGGAUAGAAAGAAAACUCCAUAAAAUUUUGGCUAGGGGGUGACAUGCAGAAAAUAAUAAGAAAAAAAUGAACUGAUAAUUAAAUGAUUUUAUUGAAUGCUUAUUCUGUAUCAGGUACUGAUUUGGACCCUUUCUAUACAUUAAUGUGCAAGUGCUUCAAGGUAGGUGCCAUUAUUACCCCCAAAUUUCAAAUGAGGAAACUGAAGCACAGACACAGCUCGCCUAUGGCCAUUCAGAGCCAGGAUUUAAAGCAGGCAGACAGACUCCAGAGCCAGUGUUCUAGUGAGAGACCAUUGUAGGAGGCAUAGAUUUUUUAAAAACUUGUGAAACCCUGUACUGUUUACAGUGACAGGACUUCAAAUUCCUACUUCUUCCCCAAAUAAAUUUAAAGCCCACAAUGGGCUUUAAAUAUUGCUUUUUUGGGGAAAGAAAGAAACUAGAAUAUUCAGAAAACACAAAAUCAUUUAUAGAAUAAAAUAAAUAGCAUGUAACCCCUAUUACCGUGAGAAAAGCUCAAAGAAGAGCUGAAAUUUAAUAUGCUCAGCAGUUUUCUCCCAAUAGGCGAAUAAUCAAAAUGGGAAAGUAAAUUAUGAGCAGUAGGUUGCUUGAUGGGCAUGGAGUCAGAGGGAGUGAAUGGAUCAUUAAUUUGUUCACAACACUUUGGGCCUGUUGCCUGUGAGGCACACUGUGUUGGAUGCUUAGGAUGUAGUGGAGAAUGAGGUGACACAUUGCAAUUUAGCGGCUCAUGUAUGUGUGUGGUGGAAUUAAUCUAGGGUGGCUGCAGUCACACUGUGGGCCUAGAGUACUCGUGAUUUGGUGGCUUAAGGUCCUUGUGUCCCUGACUGCAGGGAUGGGCACUGCUGCCCUUUGCCUCUCUGGCUUCUUUUUUCAUGUUCUUUGAAGUUGGAAAAUUUCUCCAUUUGUGAUUAAAGAAGUUGACGCUACAGGCCUCUAAGCUUCCCUUCAGCCCUUCAUGACAUGUGCUGGUUUUUGGUCACAGGGAUCUCAGUCUCCGAGCACAGGCUCAGGCAUAUCCUGAACCCAGUGAAUGGUCAGAUCUUGCCCCAAGUUUACAUUCAUUCUACUCUCUGAGGUGAUGAAGCCUCAUUACUUAAUGUCUGUGCAGUACUUCAGAUACUAUGACAGCCAAGGUCAGAGGCACAUUUUGUUGGAAGAGGCUAUUUCUAUCUAGUAGGUCUGUGAUACAUAAUGAUAAACAGGAUUCCUUUAUUACACUUCCCUUCUAGCUCUGUCAUCUAGGGACUCUGCCGUUUCCCCAAAAGGUAUAUUGAGGAGUAGAAUAUGGCCUUGGUUCUCCACUCAACCAAGUCCCAAGUGAGUUGGGAAUUUUCCUCUUCCCUCUGAAAUCUCAUUUUAAUUCCUAAAGCAAAGAAAUUUCUUUCUCUUAGCAUGAAGCUUGUCAGCCUGUUAGCAUCAGCAGUUUUAAAAGAUAGGAUCAAGUGGGUCCGAUGGACUGCCAACAAAAUGGUGACUGGGUGUUGCUUAGUUGUGUAGAAGUAGCAGUGAAGAUCGGGGCCUUGGCAGUUUCUCCCAUCAGUUGGUAGGAGAGGGCAUGGGGAAUAUGGGGCCUCUUAGCACAUAGUUGAAGAGGAGGACUGAUAGAGGUGGUUGGGUGAGAAUCAAGCUUCCAUUUGUUUACUUGAGACAUCUGGCUCAGAUAAGCAAAGGCAUAUGAGACAGCUCUGCACCUGUUUGCUUAUAAUUUUCUCCGUGGGGAGGAAAGACAUGUAGACAAAUCUGUGUGGUGCAAUACCAGCAGAUUUAAGGAGGCCUACUCAGCAAUAAAGUGCUUUGGGGAAAAUGUGUGAAUUCAGAGAGUGAGCAGGCGGGUCUGGGUAAGAGAGAGGGAAGGCUUUAUUCCUUCAACCAGCCCGACAACCUCCCCACCCCUGCUAAUGGUAGCAGUGAGCUUUGAAGUAGGCCCUGAAGGAUGAGCAGAUUUUUGAGGAGAAAGAUUUGAAAAGUCAGUGACAUAAAUGGCUUAGAAUGGAGAAGAGAUACUACUCUGAGGCAAGAAAAAGAAAGUACAUUGAAAACAUGGGUUUAUUGUCCUACAGAAACUUAAGAGGCUGCCAAUCUGUUUGCAGUGUACUAAUAAUCACACCCAAAGUUCUUUCCUAAAUAUAAUUCUCAAGCUUGGUAUAUUUCUCAGUUUCUUACUUACCAUGCAUGUCUCUUUCUUAAUAUAAUGAAGAUAAGCUUAAGGCCAGCUGAAUGCUAGGCUUGGAUGGGAAGGCCAUAUCCUUAAUCUGAUCUGUUUAAGUCAUUUUGUUCAGCUGAGAAGUUUUAAUGGGCCUUUGUUGCUCAAAUUUCUUUUCAAACUUACUUCCUACUGUAUGAGAUGUAGAAACAGUUUGCUUUUGCAGGCAUAUGAAGCCCCAGAUUUCUGGACUCUGUAUUCCAUUUUUUUUUAGCUUGAAAAUUGGCCAGUCCUUUACUGAGCUCAGCUCUUCUUCUUUGCCAGAUAUAUCCCGCAGCAUCCCACACCAUCUAGCAUUCUGCCUCUUUCCAACCUCCUCCCUGGGAGCCAUAGCCACAGUGAGCUUUUGGUCUGCCUUCACAGUUAUUAAAUUAUUUUGCUAGUAUAUAUCAAGAGCCUACAAUGUUCUAGUUUAAAUAUCCAUCUUCUUGAAACCUGCCACCUGCUUGUCAAGCCAAUGCCACCAUUAUCUUUUAGAUUUUUGUUAUGCUACCUUCCUCUUUUAAGAGGCUGAUUUCUGAAUUAGGGUUGGCUAGCGUAUAAUUAGUAUAACCAGUAGACCCCAAAUAUACAUAGGCCCUAAUAUAAUGGAAGUUUAUUUCUUGUUCUUGUGACCAUAUGAUUGGGUGGCCAUUCAGAACCUUGUUAUGUGAAGCUCUAGUAUCUUUACCACAUGGGUCCCAAACUCACUUUGGGUCAUCUCUACACCAGCCAGCCAGAAGGGGACAGCAUCAUGGAGGAAUGUGUGUUGAGUCAGGCCUGGAAGUGGUGUACCUUCCUUCUGCUUCCAUUCUGUUGGCUAUAAUUCAGUCAAAUGGCCACAUCUAACUACAGAGGAGGUUGGGAAAUGUUUGUGUACCUUGAAAGGUCAGGAGGAAGUGUAUUUUAGUGAGUAAUUAGCAGUUUCUGCCACUCUCCUCAUAUAUUUAGAUUAUUUAGUCUUAUUUUGCUAUUGUAAGUUAUAAUGUUUAUUUCUAACUUUUUUCAUAUUGUGAUCAUUUUCUUAUAAUUAUUUUUAGAUAUGAAAUUGCCAUGUCAAAAGAACGUACAUAUUUUAAGACUCUUAAGCAUACAAGUGAAUAAAAUCUUGCCUUUGAAACCUGUGCGUGCUUGGAUCCAUUUCCUCCCCAUCCCAUCAAUUGCCCCUAAUUAUGCCUCAUUUAACCUUUUCUUCAGAAUCACAUGCAGAAGGUUCAGGGCUUUGUGUCAUUCAAGGAUGUGGCUGUGAAUUUCACUGAGGAAGAAUGGAGUGAACUGGAUCCUUCUCAGAGAGUCUUGUACAGGGACGUGAUGCUAGAGAACUAUAGGCACCUGGUCUCCUUGGGUGAGGUUGGGUGCGCACACCUUGGGUAGGCCUCUUGGAUAGCUUUGCUUUCUAAAGAUGCCCUUGCUCCUGUUAGGGGAAGAUAACAAAUAAGGCUUUGGGUUUUCUUUUUUCUCCUCCAGAAUCCAGAGCUGAUCCUUAAACUGUUUCUCACUCUCUUUGGGUAGAAAUACUCAAUUUCUUCCAACAGUUAGUUAUUCUGUCUUUUGCUCUCAAAAAGAUAACAUAGUGGGACUGUGAAUGGGGUGGUGCUUUGUCUUUUGAAGUCACAUUCUGUUUCUUUCCCUUGAGUAGGAUUUCCAUUUCCUAAGCCUGGUGUCAUCUCCCAAUUGGAACUAGCUGUAAACCCAUGGAUGCAGAAGGGAGAUGUGCUAAGAAGCAGCUUUACACGUCUAUGGAAAUUCUCUUCCCUGAGAUGGAGAACACAAGAGAAGAAGCAAGUUUGUGGUGGAAGCAGUCAGUAGAAGAUGAGUCCUGUUUAUCCUAAGUUGUUUGAAGUGUCUGUAACAGGUCUCAACCAGGGAUGAUUUUGUCCCCAGGGGACACUGGCAGUUUUGAAGACUGGGAGGGGCUAUAGACAUCUUGUGGGUAGAGGCCAAGGAUAUGGCUAAACAGUGCACAAGACAGCCCCUCACAUAAGGCUUGUCUUGCCGAAAUGUCCAUAGUGCUGCAUUUGAGAAAUUCUGGUCUGUGUAGAUGUCUGGGUGGUAGAUGAAUACAAGGAGGAACUGUCAAAUAGGUCUUGAUGAAGGAAAGAGAUCUUAACUAUUGGUACAGAUUUGGGAAUCAUUUGAGAAUAAUGGUCACUGAAGUCAUGGGAUAAGAUCACCCAUAGUGAUCUCACUGUGAAGUGAGAUGCAUGAAAAAAGUUGCAAGUGAAACUCGAAGCCCAAUAAGCAUACACAUUUAAAUAUCUGCUAUCUCUCUAUGUAUCUAUAUCACUGGUAUAAUUGUUCAAAAGUAAAUCAUAGGGAAAAUACUGAUGUCAAAAUAAUACAAUGGUAAUAAUUUUUAAUAAGAUGAUGGCAGUAGAGAUAUAUAAAUUUUUAUAUUCCUUAAAUUUAUCAAUAUAAAUAAAAGAAAGAGAGUCCAGAAGGGAUACUAAGAAAGGGUGACCAGAGUGAGGAGGCAGCCAGGUCUGCUUGUCAUAGAAGCCAGUAGAAAAGAGCAUUUCAAGGGGAGGAAGGGCUUACAGUGUUAUAUGCAAGAGAGAUCAAGUAAAAAAGCUGGAAAGUAUCCAUUAGGUUUAAUAUUAAUAGCUGGCUCGUUGUUUUUGGUAACUUAAUAGUGGAUUAGUCUCUUGCUACCAUCUCUGUCCCUUGCUUAACUUCCAUUGUUUUCUAACUUUUGUACAUUUUCAUACAUUACAUAAGGUUGUCAAAUCUACAUAAGGUUACUUUGAAAAUAGUCCUCAACUUACAAGGACUUAUGUGUUAUGUUUGUUUUACCUAUAAUAUGAAAGAGUACUUAAAAAAUCUCUGAUGAUAAUGUUCCAAUUUUAUAACAAUUAAAAAGUAUGUUGUGUAAUUUACCCAUAAGAAGGCUGAGCUAGUAGUAGGCCUGAUCCCCUGAUCUCAUAAAAUUUUUGCAUUCUCCUGAACUUUGACUCUCUGUAAGCUUUUGGUGCAUGCAUGCAUUUGUGUGUGUGUGUAUGAAAGAUGAAAAAAAGUGAAGGCUGGAGGAAAUCUCUGGCAAAUUGUAACAUGUAGGGUAGCAAAGGAAAAUAUGGGAAAUGAUAUUACUGAAUUUGAUAGUAACCCCAGCAGUAAUCAAGGAGAGUUUCUGGGAGACUGUGCCAGUCAGAGUGGGAUAUAUAGGCAUUGAAUGAUGACCCUAGCUGGGGUGAACUCCAGACAAGGGGCAGGGUAGAGGGUGAUGGUAUCAAAAAGCAGGGAAGAUUCCAGUGGUUCAGAGGCUAGGGUAGUUAGCAUUCUUAUGUUCAAUACCAAUCAUUUCCCAGCUGAGAUCUCCCUAACACAUUAUUUUGUACCAUUGAUCAUGCUUGAAAUGAUUAAUAUCUGUCUGCCUCAGUAGAAUAUAAAUCUCAAAAUAUAUCUGGGACUGUAUCUGUUUUUAUCAUUGAAUCCUAGUACAUUACAUGGUGCCUAGUCUAUAAUAGAUAUCCAAUAACUUAUUUGUUGACUUACAUAUUUGACUACUGGUAUUUAUGCAGUUGUUAUCUCAUUCCUGCUUUAGCCACUUCCUUCUAGUACAGAGAACAUUUUUACUUCCCCUCCCCCCCAGACUUGGAGACCAGAAAGUUGACACCAAAGAUGGAAUUUUCUGAAAAAAAAAUUAUACUGGGGGAUAAAUAUGGAGAGAAGCACAGAGGCUGAUGCAAGGAUCUCUAGUUUGAAAGAUACCUGGUGAUUUGCAAAGAUCAAAGAGGAUGCACAAGAUAGACUUUGAAAAGAAGCAACAGUUAUCUGCAAGAAAAGAACUCCCAUUGCAGAUAGUAACUCCAAAUGUAUUGAAUUUGGAAAGUUAGUUUGAAGUAUGACUUUGUUAUAAAACCAAUACAUCCUGAAGAGGAAAUACAUUAUACAUAUGAUGCUCCAGGAAAGAGCUCCAAGCAGACUUCAAAA
Molecule: non-coding RNA, 7164 nt
Organism: Manis javanica (Malayan pangolin)
Lineage: Eukaryota; Metazoa; Chordata; Mammalia; Pholidota; Manidae
Source: RefSeq, a predicted model, not a curated record